AUGAAUGUCAUCUUUAAGAUUUCUAUAAAGGUGACAACUAACCAGUCGAAUGGGGUGGUUGACCAUGUGGUCUACUCCGCUCAAACAUCGUUCAUACCAGGACGAAAUAUACUCGAUGGGAUUGUUGUCCUACAUGAGACUAUAUGUGAGCUUCAAAAAUGUCGAGCAGAGUCAUCUUCAAAAUUGAUUUUGAGAAUGCCUACAAUGAGAGUGAGGUGGCCCUCGGGUUCUCACCAAAAUGGUGUAGAUGUGUUGAUGAUUAGUCCCUUUAGUAAUCUGGUAAAGAAGCAGAAAGGAUUCUCGCCUUUUCCCCAUACGUGA
Molecule: ribosomal RNA, 321 nt
Filed under: Triticum aestivum (bread wheat)
Lineage: Eukaryota; Viridiplantae; Streptophyta; Magnoliopsida; Poales; Poaceae
Description: partial small subunit ribosomal RNA
Source: RNAcentral